Molecule: long non-coding RNA, 1573 nt
Organism: Hirundo rustica (Barn swallow)
Lineage: Eukaryota; Metazoa; Chordata; Aves; Passeriformes; Hirundinidae
Exons: 8
Source: RefSeq, a predicted model, not a curated record
UUUUAGGUGCUGCAGGCUGGAAAUCAAAGCAGAUUUUGCAAGAGGUGAUAGUAGUUACUUGACUUGUUGCUGUUCUUUCAGUGUCACUGUAACCAGGCACACAAACAUCGAGGAACAGCCUUCAAGACACUGUGGAGGUUCCCUAGACCUCUCUUUGCAAGAGAAGCCGGUGCCUGAAGCUCUGGACCUUCCUGCUUUUCUUCUCAAAGCUGGAUUUCCAGCUUUGCAAGGAGAAUGAGAGACUGGUGUCCGGCGCAGAGAUGACGUGAGCAGAUGAGGUUUACAGAAGAACAUCUCCGUGUAAGCUGUUGUGCCACCGUGGCUGCACUUGAGUGAGUGAGUGAGUGAGGAAGAGCCCCUUUGGGGCAGCGCAGGUGCCUCAUUUCAGAAUGACCAGGGUUACUUUUAUGAGAGCUCUUUGAAGUCAGAUGCAGGGACACGAGGGCGUAUUGAACCGUUUGCAAUGCGGGCGUGAGACAUCUUCGGGUGGCAUUCUGCUUCUGCUCUUCUCAUUCCCUUGAGGAGAAGGUCAAGUGAACAGGCAGGUCUGCAAGGCUAUGGUGUGCCCUGGAGUGUUUUGGGUAUAGAGCAGGAAAACAGCAUGGUUGUGAGCUGAUACUUUCUCCAGAAGAAAAGAAUUUGGAGAAUAUUGAAGAGGAAGAGGGGAAAAGUGACUGCAUGAAAAACUGAGCUGGAUUCUCAUCUAACAGAGGACCUGCAUCUGUUUCUCUGUUGGAUGUAGCAGGAUUUUGUUGGAUGUCUGUUGAAGAUGAAGAAGAAUGAAACCUUGCAUGCUCAGAACUUCCAUACAGAAGAGUCCCCUUUCUGUAUGUGCAAGAGAGCCUCUUAGUAUCAGCUAUGGUGUGAACACCUCCCUGCUGGGAAAAAGGAGUGAAACCGCUGUUUUUAACUAGGACAGUGAAUAGUUUGUGAUAACGCUGCCUGAAGAUCUCCUUUAUCAGGUGUGGAGUUUGGAAGCUACUAAGAUCUGAAGGAAACUUUACACAGUGUAGAAGAUCAGGAUUCAGACUGGAAGGCUAAAGAAUAAACUAUGGAGCCAACAGGACUGUGAAGACUUCUGGCAGCUGUUUCCAGUGGGCUGUAAUAGUUAACAGCUCAAAAGAAAACCUGAGGAUAUAAAAUCAAAAAAGCGGUGUCCUCCAAAAUUCUGCCUUCUGGUGCCUUUCAAGAACUGUUAUGGAGCAGCAGGCCCUGGUUUCUCUAAGCAAAGGAUUUGAGCAGCUGAAAAAGGCAAGCAACUUCUGUUAAAGUCAAACAAAACACUUGUGCUUUCACCCAGACAGUGCCAACCAAAGUCACUCCUCCCUAAGCUGUGCUUCUACAGGGCAACCGUGGAGGCAGAUGCCAUGAUCUGCUGUGGCAGGAGACCUGCUGCUUCAUUCCUUGUGGUUGAAAUGCUUAUACAGAGGCAAAAUAAUUCUUUUACUGAUAAAUGUUUCCUGAGAAGAAACAUUCUUGCAGCAGAAGAGCAUUUUUGCCUGCCAAGCUGUGCUUCACUGUGGUUUUGUUAGACUAGUUGUGCCCCAUGGUGGUGGGAUUGCUCCUUGCCUUU